AGAACGCUGGCGGGCGUGCCUAACACAUGCAAGUCGAGCGGGGGUUGAAGCGAGAGGUAACUCGAACUUCUACCUAGCGGCGGACGGGUGAGUAACGCGUGGGCAACCUGCCUCAAGGUCUGGGAUAACAGCCCGAAAGGGCUGCUAAUACUGGGUAUGCUUGUGGCCUCGCAUGGGGCUAUGAGCAAAGGGGAAACCCGCCUUGAGAUGGGCCCGCGUCCCAUCAGCUAGUUGGUGAGGUAACAGCUCACCAAGGCGACGACGGGUAGCCGGCCUGAGAGGGUGACCGGCCACACUGGGACUGAGACACGGCCCAGACUCCUACGGGGGGCAGCAGUGGGGGAUCUUGCACAAUGGGCGAAAGCCUGAUGCAGCGACGCCGCGUGAGCGAAGAAGGCCUUCGGGUUGUAAAGCUCUGUCUGGAGGGACGAAGGAAGUGACGGUACCUCCGGAGGAAGCCACGGCUAACUACGUG
This 475-nucleotide ribosomal RNA is filed under the name uncultured bacterium. RNAcentral describes it as "bacterial SSU rRNA". It matches the Rfam family "Bacterial small subunit ribosomal RNA", at positions 31 to 507 of the family's 1533-position model. The record is from RNAcentral.